This 439-nucleotide ribosomal RNA is filed under the name uncultured bacterium. RNAcentral describes it as "partial 16S ribosomal RNA". It matches the Rfam family "Bacterial small subunit ribosomal RNA", at positions 339 to 795 of the family's 1533-position model. The record is from RNAcentral.
CUACGGGUGGCAGUAGUGAGGAAUAUUGCACAAUGGGGGGAACCCUGAUGCAGCAACGCCGCGUGGAGGAUGACGCAUUUCGGUGUGUAAACUCCUUUUAUAUGUCAAGAAAAUGACGGUAGCAUAUGAAUAAGCACCGGCUAACUCCGUGCCAGCAGCCGCGGUAAUACGGAGGGUGCAAGCGUUACUCGGAAUCAUUGGGCGUAAAGGACGCGUAGGCGGGUUGGAAAGUCAGGUGUGAAAUCCUACAGCUUAACUGUAGAACUGCACUUGAAACUUCUAAUCUAGAGUAUGGGAGGGGGAGAUGGAAUUAGUGGUGUAGGGGUAAAAUCCGUAGAUAUCACUAGGAAUACCUAAAGCGAAGGCGAUCUCCUGGAACAUUACUGACGCUAAGGCGUGAAAGCGUGGGGAGCAAACAGGAUUAGAUACCCCAGUAGUC